Molecule: transfer RNA, 106 nt
Filed under: Rosa chinensis
Lineage: Eukaryota; Viridiplantae; Streptophyta; Magnoliopsida; Rosales; Rosaceae
Description: sRNA RchiOBHm_Chr2g0167231
Rfam family: tRNA (bases 31-103)
About the family: Transfer RNA (tRNA) molecules are approximately 80 nucleotides in length. Their secondary structure includes four short double-helical elements and three loops (D, anti-codon, and T loops).
Source: RNAcentral
UAGUAUAUUUAGAAUGACCACUCAUCAAUCGGGGAUGUAGCUCAAAUGGUAGAGCGCUCGCUUUGCAUGCGAGAGGCACAGGGUUCGAUCCCCUGCAUCUCCACUA